This 4375-nucleotide long non-coding RNA is filed under the name Brassica rapa (field mustard). Its description in RNAcentral is "long non-coding RNA (BRAP_LNC006135)". The record is from RNAcentral. Lineage: Eukaryota; Viridiplantae; Streptophyta; Magnoliopsida; Brassicales; Brassicaceae.
UCUUCGAAAUAUUGACCAAAAUGGUAUGAUAAUAAGUCGAGAACGUUGAAACCAACUUUGUAUAGUAUAAUAUUUAAACAUGCGCACACUGCACACGUGCAAGAAAGAAAACAAUCUCUUACAAGGCCCGUUAUUACAAGCCCCAUCAAAACGAAUUCAUAUCUAACGUGUUCUUAUUACGCUUUAACAAAGCCGCGACCGCUUCACCGUACAUACAACUCCCAGCGAAAGCCUCCGUCGCCAGCUCAUCAUCUCCGACGUCUGAAUAUUCCCUGCUCGGCCUUACGAUCACGAGGGUCGCGGAUUCUAAACAUAUACCACUCUUUAGCUUAAGCGACGGCGCGUGUCUCAUGCUCAUCCUCACGCUCGGGACCACACUCCUCUGUUUUUUUUCCACGCGCUCCUCGAGUUCUUGAUCACGCGCGGCCUCCGUCUUUCGAAACUCUCUCAGCCCCUCGGAUUUCAUCACCACCGUCCCUUCUCCUCCUCUUUCAUGCAUCACUAAGCUCUCCAUCUUAUUAGUGUAUAUAGAGUCAUUGUAUAUAUCGGUUUAGUAUUAGCUACUUAGCUUACCGGUUAGACUCGGUUUAGAGUUAAUUAUGAAGUGUAUAUAAACCCCAAUUGUACAUUGUUGAUAAUUAAUGAGAAUAUCUACGUUUACUCAUAUGGUAUCAGAGCAAAUCAUUCUCAUUCUCUAACAAACUUUCUCGCAUUCGAUCAAUCGCAUUUUCCCGUCGGAUUCUCACCGGAAUCUCGCCGGAUCUCGUUCACCGAUCAUCAUUCCACCGUCGAUUUGCAUAUCUCCUCGUCUUCCUGUGCGAUUCAAGCCUCGUCUCAGCUGAAUCGAUUCUCAAUGGGAAAGCGAACCUGUAAAUCGAAGUAUCGUUCUAAUCAUCCGAGUUCACCAGUUGCAGAUUCUCCAAUCUCUCCGAUGACUCGUGGUGAAGCGUCGCACUCUAAUCCAGCUCGUCAACCAUCGGAGUCUCUUUCUCCUACAUCCGGUGACGCAGCUCGAUUCGUCGAUUCUCGACCUACUGUGAUAUCUUCCGCUGAUCGUUUUGAGGUAUCCAACAGUCCUAACAAUAUUCAUUCUCCAUACUAUUUGCAUAACUCCGAUCAUCCCGGCCUAGUCUUAGUCUCAGAACCUCUAGAUGGAAACAACUAUGGAAUCUGGUUGAUUGCUAUGACGACUAGUCUUGAAGCUAAGAAUAAGCUAGGUUUCUUGGAUGGAUCGAUUGCUAAACCUCUGGAGAAUGAUCAAUAUUUCAAGAUUUGGUGUCGUUGCAAUAGUAUGGUCAAGUCUUGGUUGCUGAAUAGUGUAUCUAAGAAGAUCUACACUAGCAUUCUAUACAUCAAGCAUGCUGCAGAUAUAUGGAAGGAUUUGCAUACUCGUUUUCACAAAUCAAACCUUCCGCGUCUCUAUAAGCUUCGACAUCAGAUCCAUUCAUUGCGUCAAGGGAGUUUGGAUCUCUCGUCCUAUCACACACAAACGCAGGCUCUUUGGGAAGAAUUAAUCAGUAUUCAACCACCUGCCUCAACUGUUGAAGAGUUCUUGGCUGAGAAAGAGACUAACCGUGUCAUUGAUUUUCUUAUGGGAUUGAAUGAAAGCUAUGAGAGUAUUCGCAGCAGGAUAUUAAUGAAGAAAGCCUUCCCUUCUCUAUCAGAGGUGUUUAAUCUUCUUGAUCAGGAGGAUAGUCAAAGAAAUGCAUCUGUCCUGCCUUCUCCGGAUCUCUCUACAACAGCUUUUCAUGUGUCUCAAUCUUCAGGACAUGGUGCUAUACCUCAGUCAUUUUCUUCAUCAUCUAGUGGACCAUCUGGGGGAUAUAUCAGGAAAGAUAGACCAUAUUGUACGCAUUGCCAUCGUGUUGGACAUGUUGUUGACAAAUGUUACAAGAAGCAUGGUUAUCCUAACAGCUUCAAGCCGAAUCAGAGGAAUGAUAAAAUCUCCAUUCCAGUUACUGCUAAUGUAACGGUUGAAGAAGCUGUAUCAGAUGAUUUGUCUCCUAUUCAGAUUCAACAGCUCGUGUCCUUCCUCAGUAGCAAGCUUCAGAGUCCAAUGGAUCAUCCUAAACCCGAGGUUCACUCUGUCUCAGUUUCUGUGCCUUCUUCUUCAUCAAACACUUGCCCAAUUUCCGGUACUUUCACUCCCUCUAUCCUUUGUUCUUUUACCGGAGUUGAUAGGCCUUAUAUUUGUUCCACAAACACUUCUGUCAAUGCCAUUAAUGCUUGGGUGAUAGAUUCAGGAGCAACCAACCAUAUUUCUCAUCAACAAUCAUCUUUUACUUCUGUUAAAACCCUCCCUGACACUAACGUAACCCUUCCUAAUGGAGUUCUGGUGAACAUUGUUGGAAUAGGAAACAUUAGUCUAGGUAGCCACAUUACCUUAACUGAUGUCUUAUACAUCCCACAAUUUAAGUUCAACCUACUUAGUGUCAGUUGCAUUACAAAGAAGAUGCAUUGUAGAGUCUGGUUUGAUGAGUUUUCUUGUGGUAUUCAGGAGCCUACACAGGAAUUAAUGAUUGGAAUGGGUAGAGAAGUCGCAAACCUUUAUUUCUUGGACAUCGAGUCAGUUUCUUCACAAGGUACCGUGUCUUCUUUUAAAAACUUUGUUGGGUCUGUUGUUAGUAUGGAAAUGUGGCAUAAGAGAUUAGGUCAUCCUUCUCAUUCUAAACUUGAAACAAUGAAAUCUUUGUUGUCUUUUCCCAAAAAUUUGAAUAAAGAUGAUACUCAUUGUCACGUUUGCCAUCUCUCUAAACAAAAACAUUUACCUUUUCCCACAAGUAAAAAUAGAAGCACUGAACCUUUUGAUCUUGUUCACAUAGAUGUCUGGGGACCCUUUUCAAUUCCUACUCAUGAUGGCUUUCGGUAUUUUCUUACCAUUGUGGAUGAUUUCUCUCGGGCAACAUGGGUGUAUCUCCUAAAGUCUAAGUCUGAUGUCAUUACAGUCUUCCCUAUUUUUGUUACCAUGGUAGAAACCCAAUUUGAUAGGAAACUUAAGAGGGUUAGAUCUGACAAUGCACCAGAACUCAAUUUCACCUCUUUCUUUCAAUCAAAAGGCAUUCUUUCCUUUCAUUCCUGCCCAGAAACUCCACAACAAAAUUCUGUUGUGGAACGAAAACACCAACAUAUCUUAAAUGUUGCUCGUUCUCUUCAAUUUCAAUCUCAUAUUCCUCUUUGUUAUUGGGGUGAUUGCGUUCUCACCGCUGUUCAUCUCAUUAAUCGCAUUCCUUCUCUCAUCACUGAUCAUAAAAGUCCUUUUGAACUCUUAACCAAAAAGCUCCCUGAUUACAUUUCACUUAAAACAUUUGGUUGCUUAUGUUAUGCUUCUACCUCACCCAAGGGCAGACACAAAUUCGAUCCUAGAGCUCGUGCUUGUGUCCUUAUAGGUUACCCUCCAGGUGUUAAAGGAUACAAGCUCCUCGAUCUUCAAACUAAUUCCAUUUCAGUUUCUCGUCAUGUUACAUUUCAUGAGGAUCUUUUUCCUUUCGUUGGAGUUGAUUUAGAUUCAGAACAUCAUAAUUUUUUCCCUGAUCUAACUUCCUCAACUUCCAACAUAGAUCCCAUGGUUUCUCCUGUGUUUUCUCCUGAUGCAGAAACUUCUUCUUCUGCAUCAAUCCCGAAGGUUUUGCCCACUGCAAUUCCUUCUUCUGAUGUUUCUGAUUCCUCUGAUCAGACAUCACACAGGAAAACUAAAACACCUGCUUAUCUUAAAGACUACUACUGCAAUGAAGCAGAGUAUAGAAGUCUUUCGGUGGUUUCUGAUGAGCUUUUCUGGCUUACUAACUUCCUCAAAGAACUUCACUUCAAUCUCGCCAAACCGUCAUUGUUAUUUUGUGACAACACUGCUGCGAUUCAUAUUGCACACAAUGCUGUGUUUCAUGAGCGCACGAAGAACUUGGAGAUUGAUUGUCACAGCGUACGGGAAAGAAUGGUUGCAGGUUAUUUCAAAUUGCUUCAUGUGCGUACUGACUUGCAACUAGCUGAUCCUUUCACUAAAGCUCUGUAUCCGGCUCCGUUUCGACGUCUGUAUGGCAAGAUGGGUCUUCUCAAUAUCUUUGUCCCAUCUUGAGGGGGACUAUUAGUGUAUAUAGAGUCAUUGUAUAUAUCGGUUUAGUAUUAGCUACUUAGCUUACCGGUUAGACUCGGUUUAGAGUUAAUUAUGAAGUGUAUAUAAACCCCAAUUGUACAUUGUUGAUAAUUAAUGAGAAUAUCUACGUUUACUCAUACAUCUCCUUGUGCUCCUUCACGACUUGGCUCAUCAGGUGAUGACGUGUCGACGCGGCCAUCAACGCCUUUAUCGUCCACUCCACGCGCGUUUUAAGACCAGUCACGAACUCGGCGUCUGACUCACCGUCGGGAGAAGACACGGUGGAGG